GUCCACGUUCAGUUAUAAAAUUAUUACGAUUUAUAAGAAACCCUAGAAAUCGGUUCUGGAAACCUUAAUUUCAGUACCAGAAAUCCGAAAUCCUAAUUCAGUAUUUGAAACCCUAAUUUGGGAAGUCAAAGGCUAAAUAUAAUGGCUUAAGUAUUUUUGAUUAUAUAUUAGGGAUAACCCUAAUUGUUAAAUUAGAAAUCCUAAUGUUUUGUAUAAAACCCUAAGGGAUUAAAAGUUAUG
Molecule: long non-coding RNA, 240 nt
Filed under: Panax ginseng (ginseng)
Lineage: Eukaryota; Viridiplantae; Streptophyta; Magnoliopsida; Apiales; Araliaceae
Description: long non-coding RNA (PGIN_LNC002771)
Source: RNAcentral